GACGAACGCUGGCGGCGUGCCUAAUACAUGCAAGUUGAGCGAUGAAGCUUGGUGCUUGCACCAAUUUGAAGAGCAGCGAACGGGUGAGUAACGCGUGGGGAAUCUGCCUUUGAGCGGGGGACAACAUUUGGAAACGAAUGCUAAUACCGCAUAAUAACUUUAAACAUAAGUUUUAAGUUUGAAAGAUGCAAUUGCAUCACUCAAAGAUGAUCCCGCGUUGUAUUAGCUAGUUGGUGAGGUAAAGGCUCACCAAGGCGAUGAUACAUAGCUGACCUGAGAGGGUGAUCGGCCACAUUGGGACUGAGACACGGCCCAAACUCCUACGGGAGGCAGCAGUAGGGAAUCUUCGGCAAUGGACGAAAGUCUGACCGAGCAACGCCGCGUGAGUGAAGAAGGUUUUCGGAUCGUAAAACUCUGUUGGUAGAGAAGAACGUUGGUGAGAGUGGAAAGCUCAUCAAGUGACGGUAACUACCCAGAAAGGGACGGCUAACUACGUG
RNAcentral lists this ribosomal RNA (497 nucleotides) under uncultured bacterium. Its description in RNAcentral is "partial 16S ribosomal RNA". It matches the Rfam family "Bacterial small subunit ribosomal RNA", at positions 28 to 507 of the family's 1533-position model. The record is from RNAcentral.